This 67-nucleotide transfer RNA is filed under the name Pedioplanis laticeps. RNAcentral's name for it is "tRNA-Tyr". It matches the Rfam family "tRNA". Rfam says of the family: Transfer RNA (tRNA) molecules are approximately 80 nucleotides in length. Their secondary structure includes four short double-helical elements and three loops (D, anti-codon, and T loops). Lineage: Eukaryota; Metazoa; Chordata; Lepidosauria; Squamata; Lacertidae. The record is from RNAcentral.
GGUAGGAUGGCUGAACACUUAGGCGUGGGGCUGUAAACCCCAAUAUGGGGAGAGUCCCCUCCUGUCA